ACAGAGAGAACACAAAAAAACACACGAAAGAGAUCAGUUACUGAAUGUGAUUUCUAACGAGACAAUGAACAAGUACAUAAAGGGUUAUGUGAAGAAGUUCACAUCCUAUUUGGGGCUUGAACAAGUACAUAAAGGGUUAUGUGAAGAAGUUCACAUCCUAUUUGGGGCUUGAACCUAAGAAGCCUAUCCUAUGAGCCAGGACACUGACAUCUUCCUCCUCACCUUCUUCAUUUCCACUGGUACCUAAUUCAUCAUUAAAUCCAUCGCUCAAUAAUU
RNAcentral lists this long non-coding RNA (276 nucleotides) under Daucus carota (carrot). Its description in RNAcentral is "long non-coding RNA (DCAR_LNC000566)". The record is from RNAcentral. Lineage: Eukaryota; Viridiplantae; Streptophyta; Magnoliopsida; Apiales; Apiaceae.